RNAcentral lists this ribosomal RNA (497 nucleotides) under uncultured bacterium. Its description in RNAcentral is "partial 16S ribosomal RNA". It matches the Rfam family "Bacterial small subunit ribosomal RNA", at positions 28 to 507 of the family's 1533-position model. The record is from RNAcentral.
GAUGAACGCUGGCGGCGUGCCUAAUACAUGCAAGUCGAGCGAACAGACGAGGAGCUUGCUCCUCUGACGUUAGCGGCGGACGGGUGAGUAACACGUGGAUAACCUACCUAUAAGACUGGGAUAACUUCGGGAAACCGGAGCUAAUACCGGAUAAUAUAUUGAACCGCAUGGUUCAAUAGUGAAAGACGGUUUUGCUGUCACUUAUAGAUGGAUCCGCGCCGCAUUAGCUAGUUGGUAAGGUAACGGCUUACCAAGGCAACGAUGCGUAGCCGACCUGAGAGGGUGAUCGGCCACACUGGAACUGAGACACGGUCCAGACUCCUACGGGAGGCAGCAGUAGGGAAUCUGCCGCAAUGGGCGAAAGCCUGACGGAGCAACGCCGCGUGAGUGAUGAAGGUCUUCGGAUCGUAAAACUCUGUUAUUAGGGAAGAACAAAUGUGUAAGUAACUAUGCACGUCUUGACGGUACCUAAUCAGAAAGCCACGGCUAACUGCGUG